CAUCAUUGUCGUAAAAUUCCGAAGAAUUAUUGUAUGAUCCCAAAACUAGAUGAAAUUCUAAAGAGUUAUGGGAGAAAUUCAGAGCAGGGUUUGUUGUUGUUGUCUUGAUGAUAGUAACACUCGUCAAGUCUCCAAAUUGGCGGUGGCGUGCUACAAAGCCCUCCUAUUUUCCCUAACAAUACACAGCGUUUCAACUUUUCACCAUUGAUGAUCCUAGCGGCCGCCUAGUGACCGCCUAGCAACCGCCUAGACUGCCUAGCCCGCCUAGACCGCCUAGCGCCCGCCUAGACCUCUUAGUGCCCACCUAGACCCCUAGACCGCCUAGCGCCCGCCUAGUGACCGCCUAGCCCGCCUGGCGCCUGCCUAGACAACCUAGCAACCGCCUAGACCACUUAGUGCCUGGCUAGCGACCGUCUAGCGACCGCCUAGCAACCGCCUAGACUGCCUAGCCCGCCUAGCGCCCACCUAGGCCAUUUAUUCUGUAAUAUUAACAAUAUGAGUGAGUGUGUUCAAGGGUUUAACUUGUAAAGAAGAUUUCCGAACAACAACAGAUAACCCAGAGAAGUUUCAUGGAGUUAUUACAAUGGUGGCUCUUGGCCAAAAUUCUGACUUAUGUGUUUGUUCUAAAACAAUUGGUUAAUGAUGUUGCAACGGGGAGGCCUCAGACUGCUAAGAGAGCAAUUGAACGAGUGGAGCAUCGGCUCUCAAAAGAUGGGUGGCCAGAAUACUAUGACGGCAAGGCAGGGAGAUAUGUCAGGAAGCAAGCGAGGAAGUACCAGACCUGGAGCAUCUCAGGAUAUCUGGUAGCUAAACUGAUGAUCGAGAACCCAACCAAUCUUUCACUGAUCCCUCUUGAAGAGGACAAGAAGAUAGCCAAGCCAAGGCUCACCCGCUUCACUUCCUUUUGAGUCAAACCAGUGUCAGCAGCAUACAUGAUGCAUUACAGAUUAAGAGGGCGACAUAGUCUGCUGAAGGUUGUGUGAAAGACUUCAUCUUUGGAUCAAAAAGGCAACCUGAAAGAGAAAUUGAGAAGCUGGCCCUUAACAGUGCAAAGGAUUAUCAUUAGUUUUUUACAUCCUUAGUUAAAUAGGCGGUUAACAAUGUAUUGAGAAUGAUUCUACUGUUCUUGUUAGUUUUAUGUGGUGAUAUUUGGACCUUAUGUGGUGAUAUUUCAUGUUUUGUUUCAUUUCAUGUAUGAUCUUCACCUUGCUACUGAGAUAAAACCAAAUUCAGUAUGGAUAUGAUUCUUGGGCA
Prunus persica (peach) is the source of this 1254-nucleotide long non-coding RNA. RefSeq lists it as uncharacterized. The transcript has 3 exons. The record is from RefSeq and is a predicted model, not a curated record. Lineage: Eukaryota; Viridiplantae; Streptophyta; Magnoliopsida; Rosales; Rosaceae.